CGCGGGGCCGCGGCGGCUCCCGACCAGCCCCUCGCUUCGGGCGAGGGCCGGGUUUGGUCGGAUGCGCUCUACGGGUUCGGAUCCCGCGCCGGCGACC
This 97-nucleotide transfer RNA is filed under the name Methylobacterium longum. RNAcentral's name for it is "tRNA-Arg". Lineage: Bacteria; Pseudomonadati; Pseudomonadota; Alphaproteobacteria; Hyphomicrobiales; Methylobacteriaceae. The record is from RNAcentral.